GAUGAACGCUGGCGGCGUGCCUAAUACAUGCAAGUCGAACGAGGUGCUUGAGUAGCAAUACAAGAGUAUCCUAGUGGCGAACGGGUGAGUAACGCGUGGAUGACCUGCCCCAAAGUGUGGGAUAACAGUCCGAAAGGAUUGCUAAUACCUCAUGUGGUUAUCGGAUUUAGAAACUGAUAACUAAAGCAGCAAUGCGCUUUGGGGAGGGAUCUGCGUCCCAUCAGCUAGUUGGUGAGGUAACGGCUCACCAAGGCGACGACGGGUAGGGGACCUGAGAGGGUGGCCCCCCACAAUGGAACUGAAACACGGUCCAUACACCUACGGGUGGCAGCAGUAGGGAAUAUUGCUCAAUGGGCGAAAGCCUGAAGCAGCAACGCCGCGUGUGCGAUGAAGGCCUUGGUCGUAAGCACUUUCUAAGAGAUGAGAAAGGACAGUAUCUUAGGAAUAAGUCUCGGCUAACUACGUGCCAGCAGCCGCGGUAAAGUCUAG
Molecule: ribosomal RNA, 489 nt
Filed under: uncultured bacterium
Lineage: Bacteria
Description: bacterial SSU rRNA
Rfam family: Bacterial small subunit ribosomal RNA
Source: RNAcentral